This 496-nucleotide ribosomal RNA is filed under the name uncultured bacterium. Its description in RNAcentral is "partial 16S ribosomal RNA". It matches the Rfam family "Bacterial small subunit ribosomal RNA", at positions 28 to 507 of the family's 1533-position model. The record is from RNAcentral.
GAUGAACGCUGGCGGCGUGCCUAAUACAUGCAAGUCGAGCGAACAGACGAGGAGCUUGCUCCUCUGACGUUAGCGGCGACGGGUGAGUAACACGUGGAUAACCUACCUAUAAGACUGGGAUAACUUCGGGAAACCGGAGCUAAUACCGGAUAAUAUAUUGAACCGCAUGGUUCAAUAGUGAAAGACGGUUUUGCUGUCACUUAUAGAUGGAUCCGCGCCGCAUUAGCUAGUUGGUAAGGUAACGGCUUACCAAGGCAACGAUGCGUAGCCGACCUGAGAGGGUGAUCGGCCACACUGGAACUGAGACACGGUCCAGACUCCUACGGGAGGCAGCAGUAGGGAAUCUUCCGCAAUGGGCGAAAGCCUGACGGAGCAACGCCGCGUGAGUGAUGAAGGUCUUCGGAUCGUAAAACUCUGUUAUUAGGGAAGAACAAAUGUGUAAGUAACUAUGCACGUCUUGACGGUACCUAAUCAGAAAGCCACGGCUAACUACGUG